This 1991-nucleotide unclassified non-coding RNA is filed under the name Ooceraea biroi (clonal raider ant). RNAcentral describes it as "uncharacterized LOC105287140, transcript variant X2". Lineage: Eukaryota; Metazoa; Arthropoda; Insecta; Hymenoptera; Formicidae. The record is from RNAcentral.
UUGUAUCCUUGACUAAAAAUGGAUUUUGUAGGAGAACACUACUAUAACUACACAGAACAUUAUUAUAAACUAAACAGAAUUCUUUUAGUAUGUGUCGGCUUGUGGCCUUACGAUACUUCAUUCUUGAAGAAGAUCCAAAUUAUUUUUUUUGAAGCAUUAUUCAUGUCAUUCUUAUUAUGUCAGCUCAACGUAUUUCUGUUGAAAAACUGCAGUGCCGAACUUGUCAUGAAAGUACUCAUGUUUCUUUUUAUUACUCUUUUUUUUACUGUACAAUACAAUGCAGGAGUGCUACUCACUGAUACCUUCAAGUACAUCUUCAGUAGGCUUCGUUACGAUUGGAAAAUGUUGAAAAAUCAGACGGAAUUCGACAUCAUACAAAAGUAUGCAGACAGGACAAGAUUCCAUACGACCCUUUUUACACUUUUAGCUACCUCUGUGUGCCUGGGAAUAGUCGUAUUAUGUUCUGUGCCAUCUAUACUUGAUAUAAUUAUACCACUAAAUGAAUCACGACCGUCAUGGUUACCAAUUGUAGCGGAAUACUUUGUUGACCAAGAAAGAUAUUUCUAUGUUAUUGUGAUACAUAUUUUCAUAGUCUUAUAUGCUGGCUGUAUGGUACUUGUAGCCAGUGGAGGAAUGAUUCUAGGAUAUGUAAUGCAUAAUUGCGCCAUCUUUAAAAUUGCAAUCUAUCGAAUAGAACACAUAUUUGAUGAAAAAAUAUUACAAAUGUCAAAACAUGUUAGAGAAUAUGUACUAUAUGAGAGAUUAAUUCAUGCAGUACAUCUUCAUCGCAGAGCUGUGGAUUUGGCCAAUAUCUUGACGAACAGUUUGGCGACAGUAUAUUUCAUAUUACUAAUAUGUGGAGUAGCUUCUACGAGUUUCAGUGUUUUUCAUCUCUUUCAUGUACUGACACCCUUAAACGACAUACUAGAACUAUUAGCUUGUUGCGGUGUUAUACUUUCUCAGUUGUAUUACGUAUUUUUGGGAAAUUACAUUGGACAAGAUAUCAUAGACCUCAGCACAAAUGUUUUUCGAACAACAUAUAAUACCGAAUGGUACACCGCACCACUGUGGUUACAAAAAUUGAUAUUGUUUAUAAUGCAGAGAAGCAGCAUCAAGAGUACUUUUACAGCUGGAGGGAUUUUUGAUGCAUCGUUAGAAGGUUUUGCCAAGCUCAUGAGCAUGUCGAUGUCCUAUGUUAUGUUUCUGCGUUCUACGUGAACUCAAUAAGAAAAAUGAAUACUCAUCAUAUUUAUAAUCAUCAUUUGUCCGAAGUUGGCUUAUAAAUAGGAAAUAGCGUAGACACGUGCAAGAAUACAAUAUUAGUGGAAAUAUUCUGGUACUGGUAAUUAGUACUGUGCAAUGCAAUGGACCGUAGUAUUUUUGUACUCGAAAAAGUGUAAGUUUUUAUGUCUAAUUCAUAAUAUGUAUUAUGCAUCGAACGCAGAUAUAAUUAUAUACUUGGACUUGUCCAAAUAUGAGAUAAUUGGAUAUACAAAAAUAAAAUCAUUAUAUACCUCACUUCUAUUAAGAAUAAAGAUUGAUAUUUUUAUGCAUAAGUGUAUAAAUAUGAUGAUAUACCAUACAGGGCAGGUGCAAAUGUGAAAACUUCAUCUAUUUAUAAUAUAAGGAACAGUAAAAGCUUAUGUGUUGUGCAACAGAAAUGUAAUUAUAGCACCGUUGGAUGAUUUUACUUGGAUCGAUAGCCAUGUUGAACAUAACCGUUCAUGUUGAACAUGAUUCAAACAGCGACUUAAAAUAACUGUUAAAUUUAUGACUUUAUUGUUAUAUCUACAAAGUCUGCAUUAUGAGCUUCAAUGUAAUAUUAGGAAUUUUUCUUUCUUAGAUAGCUAGUAUGGCGGUAUUCUAUCUCAUAUACUUUAUUAUGUACGUUAAACUAAAAACAAAUGACAUUUAAAUGGUAAAGCUGCAUUAAUAUAUGUUUAUAAGACGUUUUAUUCACUCUUAUAGAAUAAUAUACAUUUGAGAAAAUA